AACGAACGCUGGCGGCAUGCCUAACACAUGCAAGUCGAACGAUUGCCUUCGGGUGAUAGUGGCGCACGGGUGCGUAACGCGUGGGAAUCUGCCCUUAGGUUCGGAAUAACAGCUGGAAACGGCUGCUAAUACCGGAUGAUAUCGCGAGAUCAAAGAUUUAUCGCCUGAGGAUGAGCCCGCGUUGGAUUAGGUAGUUGGUGGGGUAAAGGCCUACCAAGCCGACGAUCCAUAGCUGGUCUGAGAGGAUGAUCAGCCACACUGGGACUGAGACACGGCCCAGACUCCUACGGGAGGCAGCAGUGGGGAAUAUUGGACAAUGGGCGCAAGCCUGAUCCAGCAAUGCCGCGUGAGUGAUGAAGGCCCUAGGGUUGUAAAGCUCUUUUACCCGGGAAGAUAAAGACUGUACCGGGAGAAUAAGCCCCGGCUAACUCCGUG
This 435-nucleotide ribosomal RNA is filed under the name uncultured bacterium. RNAcentral describes it as "partial 16S ribosomal RNA". It matches the Rfam family "Bacterial small subunit ribosomal RNA", at positions 29 to 507 of the family's 1533-position model. The record is from RNAcentral.